Molecule: ribosomal RNA, 253 nt
Filed under: uncultured bacterium
Lineage: Bacteria
Description: partial 16S ribosomal RNA
Rfam family: Bacterial small subunit ribosomal RNA
Source: RNAcentral
UACGAGGGGGGCAAGCGUUGUUCGGAAUUAUUGGGCGUAAAGGGCGCGUAGGCGGUGCGGUAAGUCACCUGUGAAACCUCUAGGCUCAACCUAGAGCCUGCAGGCGAAACUGCCGUGCUUGAGGGUGGGAGAGGUGCGUGGAAUUCCCGGUGUAGCGGUGAAAUGCGUAGAUAUCAGGAGGAACACCUGUGGCGAAAGCGGCGCACUGGACCACAACUGACGCUGAGGCGCGAAAGCUAGGGGAGCAAACAGG